This 465-nucleotide ribosomal RNA is filed under the name uncultured bacterium. Its description in RNAcentral is "partial 16S ribosomal RNA". It matches the Rfam family "Bacterial small subunit ribosomal RNA", at positions 28 to 507 of the family's 1533-position model. The record is from RNAcentral.
GACGAACGCUGGCGGCGUGCUUAACACAUGCAAGUCGAACGGAAAGGCCCCUUUGGGGGUACUCGAGUGGCGAACGGGUGAGUAACACGUGAGUAACCUGCCCUUGACUUCGGGAUAACUUCAGGAAACUGGGGCUAAUACCGGAUAGGAAUCCUUGCCGCAUGGUGGGGGUUGGAAAGCUUCGGCGGUUUUGGAUGGACUCGCGGCUUAUCAGCUUGUUGGUGGGGUAGUGGCUUACCAAGGCUUUGACGGGUAGCCGGCCUGAGAGGGCGACCGGCCACAUUGGGACUGAGAUACGGCCCAGACUCCUACGGGAGGCAGCAGUGGGGAAUAUUGCACAAUGGGCGGAAGCCUGAUGCAGCAACGCCGCGUGCGGGAGGACGGCCUUCGGGUUGUAAACCGCUUUCAGCAGGGGCGAAGCUUGUGGUGACGGUACCUGCAGAAGAAGCACCGGCUAACUACGUG